Lupinus albus (white lupine) is the source of this 136-nucleotide non-coding RNA. The record is from the annotation of a GenBank genome assembly. Lineage: Eukaryota; Viridiplantae; Streptophyta; Magnoliopsida; Fabales; Fabaceae.
UUAUUUGCGGAUGUAGCAUCAUCAAGAUUCACAUUCAAAUGCAGAUGGGUGGAAUCUGAUGCAGUCUAUAUAUGCUCUCUGCCAUGCCAUAAGUCUUUUGAAGUGAGAAUCUUGAUGAUGCUGCAUCAGCCAUAAA